This 492-nucleotide ribosomal RNA is filed under the name uncultured bacterium. RNAcentral describes it as "partial 16S ribosomal RNA". It matches the Rfam family "Bacterial small subunit ribosomal RNA", at positions 29 to 507 of the family's 1533-position model. The record is from RNAcentral.
AGUGAACGCUGGCGGUAGGCCUAACACAUGCAAGUCGAACGGCAGCACAGUAAGAGCUUGCUCUUACGGGUGGCGAGUGGCGGACGGGUGAGGAAUACAUCGGAAUCUACCUUUUCGUGGGGGAUAACGUAGGGAAACUUACGCUAAUACCGCAUACGACCUACGGGUGAAAGCAGGGGAUCUUCGGACCUUGCGCGAUUGAAUGAGCCGAUGUCGGAUUAGCUAGUUGGCGGGGUAAAGGCCCACCAAGGCGACGAUCCGUAGCUGGUCUGAGAGGAUGAUCAGCCACACUGGAACUGAGACACGGUCCAGACUCCUACGGGAGGCAGCAGUGGGGAAUAUUGGACAAUGGGCGCAAGCCUGAUCCAGCUAUACCGCGUGGGUGAAGAAGGCCUUCGGGUUGUAAAGCCCUUUUGUUGGGAAAGAAAAGCAGCAGGUUAAUACCCCGCUGUUCUGACGGUACCCAAAGAAUAAGCACCGGCUAACUUCGUG